This 85-nucleotide transfer RNA is filed under the name Bacteroidetes bacterium RIFCSPLOWO2_12_FULL_37_12. RNAcentral describes it as "tRNA-Leu". It matches the Rfam family "tRNA". Rfam says of the family: Transfer RNA (tRNA) molecules are approximately 80 nucleotides in length. Their secondary structure includes four short double-helical elements and three loops (D, anti-codon, and T loops). The record is from RNAcentral. Lineage: Bacteria; Pseudomonadati; Bacteroidota.
GCCGAAGUGGUGGAACUGGUAGACACGCAAGACUUAAAAUCUUGUGGGCGUUGAGUCCGUGCGGGUUCGAGUCCCGCCUUUGGCA